This 64-nucleotide transfer RNA is filed under the name Batophila aerata. RNAcentral describes it as "tRNA-Ser". Lineage: Eukaryota; Metazoa; Arthropoda; Insecta; Coleoptera; Chrysomelidae. The record is from RNAcentral.
AGUUAAUGAGCUUGAAAAAGCGUAUAUUUUGAAAAUAUAAGAUAGAAGAAAUUUCUAUUAACUU